RNAcentral lists this ribosomal RNA (92 nucleotides) under Eucalyptus camaldulensis (Murray red gum). RNAcentral's name for it is "partial 26S ribosomal RNA". It matches the Rfam family "Eukaryotic large subunit ribosomal RNA", at positions 1 to 90 of the family's 3401-position model. Lineage: Eukaryota; Viridiplantae; Streptophyta; Magnoliopsida; Myrtales; Myrtaceae. The record is from RNAcentral.
CGCGACCUCAGGUCAGGCGGGGCUAACCGCUGAGUUUAAGCAUAUCAAUAAGCGGAGGAAAAGAAACUAACAAGGAUUCCCUUAGUAACGGC